AUUGAACGCUGGCGGCAUGCCUUACACAUGCAAGUCGAACGGCAGCGGACCUUCGGGUGCCGGCGAGUGGCGAACGGGUGAGUAAUAUAUCGGAACGUACCUUUCAGUGGGGGAUAACGUAGCGAAAGUUACGCUAAUACCGCAUAUUCUGUGAGCAGGAAAGCAGGGGAUCGCAAGACCUUGCGCUGAUUGAGCGGCCGAUAUCAGAUUAGCUAGUUGGUGAGGUAAAGGCUCACCAAGGCGACGAUCUGUAGCGGGUCUGAGAGGAUGAUCCGCCACACUGGAACUGAGACACGGUCCAGACUCCUACGGGAGGCAGCAGUGGGGAAUUUUGGACAAUGGGCGCAAGCCUGAUCCAGCCAUGCCGCGUGAGUGAAGAAGGGCCUCGGUUGGUAAGUACGUCUUUCGGUCC
This 412-nucleotide ribosomal RNA is filed under the name uncultured bacterium. RNAcentral's name for it is "bacterial SSU rRNA". It matches the Rfam family "Bacterial small subunit ribosomal RNA", at positions 30 to 442 of the family's 1533-position model. The record is from RNAcentral.